AAGGCCAACCCGGUAGAAACAAGCCCGCCCGUAGGAACCCCACGAAAAAAACAUCCUUAACUGGCCACCUCGCCUCCCUCCCGAGCACCGCCCGCCGCCACCCUCCUGCGCGCCCGGCCACGGCCUCCCUCCUGCGCGUCGCCGGCCACCGCCUCCCUCCAGAGCGCCGCCCGCCGCGCCGCCUCCCUCCCCCGCGUCGCCGGCCACCGCCUCCCUCCCCGCACUGACGGCCGCGGCAUCCCUCCCCGGCACCGACGGCCGCUGCAUCCCUCCCCGCACCAAUGACCGCCGCAUCCCUCCCCCGCACCGACGGCCGCCGCAUCCCUCCCCGCACCGACGGCCGCCGCAUCCCUCCCCCGUGCAGAUGACCGCUGCAAGCUGCUCCCGCUCAUGGCCGCUGCAAGCUCCUCCCGUACGCCAACCUCCACCCCGCCUUCCCCCUCUGUUCUCCCUCACGCUCGGGCGCCAGCCAUCCUUCUUCCACGCGCGCGGCACCUCGAUCCACCGCCGGCCGACCUCCCUCGUCCCGCUUGCUGGCCGCCGUCCAUGUUGUACCAUUGUUUCUGGAAGAAAACCAACUUGGACUUCGUUAGACGGCCUUUGCACCAUUUUGAGCGCCGACAGCUCCUUCCUUUGCCAUUGAUACAGCCAUCGACAUGUACUGGGUGUUCCUUUGCAAGUUCAAUUAGUGUCAUCGCACAAGUUCAGAAGUUUGAUUUUGUGAAGAAGUAUGAAAAUUUUCAGUGCAAAUGUGGAAAACCAGAAAGUUCUAAUAAUGGUGUACCAAAAGUUCAAGGAUAGUAAUCCGGGGACGUUGGAGCAACUGCUGAUGGAGGCGGAGUCAAAAUCUCGUGACUGUCUGCUGCAGAUCUUCAGCAUGGACUUCGAUGAAGACACUCCUCUGAUGUUAAUGCGCUUCUGCAUUUUAAUAAAGAAGUUACAAAAUUUCAGUUCCUCGGUACUUAUAAGAUCUUGAGAGGAUGACAGAGGAUGCCCAUGUGUACUGUGUACAAGCCAGCCAGCCAUGUAUAAGGAUCCAAUGGAAGACUGGAUUUGGUUGUUGUUAAUUAGCAGCCACCUAAGCCUAGCAAUUGACCGUGGAGCAGGUACUGGAUCCCUGACACGAUGCAAUUACUCAUCAGUGUCGACGACUGAUUUAUUUUGUUUUGUACAAGUUAAAGCAUCAGUGGCCAUAGGGAAGGAGACCUUCCCAAAUCGUGCCCCUGGACAAUGCAACAAUGAAUUGGAGCCGUUUCCGCCUCUCUUCCAGCAGCGCUGAUGUCCCCUUCUAGUUCAGCACUGGUUUCCCCGCCUCGUGAUACGGUCUGCAGUUGCUUGUGAGUUGUCUGCUAGGUGUUGUUUAAGUGUCACAGACGACGUGUUGUCUCCUGGCAUCUGGAUAACUGCCGACUGCAAAUAAAAGCACGAGGGAGGCUGGAGCGACUGCAGACCGGUGACGAGAACCACUCUUCAGUUCUGCUAUUCGUGUAUUGGAAGUACGUACCCUCUAUCCAGGCAGGAGGUAGAGUACAAGUUUUGGAAGGCCGGGGAGUUCUACCGCUGGCGUACACCAAGUUCAGAGACGUUGCACGGAGUGAGCCGACGCCGCGGUAAAAAUGGUUUAUUAGCAUAGCGGAGAGAAUAUUUUUAUGCUCAUUUGUUCAUAGUAUGAAGCUCGUUUAUAGUUUCUUUUCUCAUUCUUUUAAUUAAGAAAAAAGUUUAUUGAGCUUGAAGCAUAAACCUCUCGGCAAUGUAACAUUCUGCUGAUAUUUAAUAAUCGGUAAGCUGUUGUAGUGGGACAAGGUCAUCAUCUUGAGGUCAGUGAUACCAUGCACGCUGAAACGAUGGCCUUACACUAGGCUGUAUGUAUAACUUGGUCUAUGGGAUGCAGGCUUGUGCUGCUUGAAACGGAUGCGACUAACCUGUAGAAAGCAUUACAGGAAGUGAUUUAAGAGAUGAAUGUGGCCAACGACGGUCAUCGCUCCUCGACUCUAUUCCCGUUCGUCACCCAGCUCACCAGUCCACCUCGGUGCUCCACCACCGGUCCCUCGGAAGAGCUGGCUGCAGGCCAUCCGUUGCUCCGCCCCUGGAUGCUGUCGUGUGGUGGCCGGCCGUCUCACUCCAAUGCACCUCCCUCUCUUUGUGUACUGGUCCCUCUGGCAGCCGUCCAAGUGGAGCGUUGACACCAGUACAAGUAGAAUUGUGGGUCGCGGCCACCAACUUCACCAAGCGUUGCACAUCCGUCCAAGUCGAGCACACACACCGGGAGAACACCAGCGCCUUUGCUUUGCACAUUGCUUGGUCAUGCAUGAUUGCUGAUGGAUGCAGCAAGCGUUUUAUUAGUUUGAUCUUCUGCAUUUUGUCUCAGUUUUCAUGGAUGCUAGCGGGCAAGUGACAUGAUUUUGGUUGCCAUUUCUCUCUGUAGCAGAUUCCAUCCGCACAAAAAAUGCUACUGCAGUUUAUUCUAUGUAAAAAAUGAAUAAGGUUCAAUUCACAAAAUGUGGAUGUUCGCUUGGGAAAUUUUGCAGUACAUUUGAUUACACCAAGAUGUACAGAAUGACUAAUUCUUUAUUGUGUGCCUUCAGCACAAUUUAAAAUUACUGGUUGACGAUA
Aegilops tauschii subsp. strangulata is the source of this 2613-nucleotide non-coding RNA. The record is from RefSeq and is a predicted model, not a curated record. Lineage: Eukaryota; Viridiplantae; Streptophyta; Magnoliopsida; Poales; Poaceae.